This 96-nucleotide Y RNA is filed under the name Prolemur simus (greater bamboo lemur). Its description in RNAcentral is "Y RNA (ENSPSMG00000008695.1)". It matches the Rfam family "Y RNA". Rfam says of the family: Y RNAs are components of the Ro ribonucleoprotein particle (Ro RNP), in association with Ro60 and La proteins. The record is from Rfam by way of RNAcentral. Lineage: Eukaryota; Metazoa; Chordata; Mammalia; Primates; Lemuridae.
GGCUGUUCUGAUGGUAGUGGGUUAUCGGAACUUACUAAUGUUAGUGCCACUAAAGUUGGUAUACGACCCCUCACUGCUAAAUUUGACUGGCUUUAA